AUCAACUUUCGAUGGUAGGAUAGAGGCCUACCAUGGUGGUAACGGGUAACGGGGUGUUAGGGCACGACACCGGAGAGGGAGCCUGAGAAACGGCUACCACAUCCAAGGAUGGCAGCAGGCGCGCAAAUUACCCAAUCCCGACACGGGGAGGUAGUGACAAUAAAUAACAAUACGGGGUUCUUUCGGAUUUCGUAAUUGGAAUGAGUACAAUUUAAAUCUCUUAACGAGGAACAAUUGGAGGGCAAGUCUGGUGCCAGCAGCCGUGGUAAUUCCAGCUCCAAUAGCGUAUAUUAAAGUUGCUGCAGUUAAAAAGCUCGUAGUUGAAUUUCGGGACCAAUAUGUCGGUCGUGCCUCGGUACGUACUGGCAUCGUUGGUUUCUCCCUUCUGACGAACCAUGAUGUCAUUUAUUUGGUGUCGUGGGGAAUCAGGACUGUUACUUUGAAAAAAUUAGAGUGUUUAAAGCAGGCUCACGCUUGAAUACAUUAGCAUGGGAUAAUGAAAUAGGACGUUUGAUUCUAUUUUGUUGGUUUCUAGGAUCGACGUAAUGAUUAAUAGGGAUAGUUGGGGGCAUUAGUAUUCAAUUGUCAGAGGUGAAAUUCUUGGAUUUAUUGAAGACUAACUACUGCGAAAGCAUUUGCCAAGGAUGUUUUCAUUAAUCAAGAACGAAAGUUAGGGGAUCGAAGACGAUCAGAUACCGUCGUAGUCUUAACCAUAAACUAUGCCGACUAGGGAUCGGAUGAUGUUAAUUUUUUAAUGACUCAUUCGGCGCCUUACGGGAAACCAAAGUGUUUGGGUUC
Molecule: ribosomal RNA, 798 nt
Filed under: uncultured Glomus
Lineage: Eukaryota; Fungi; Glomeromycota; Glomeromycetes; Glomerales; Glomeraceae
Description: SSU rRNA
Rfam family: Eukaryotic small subunit ribosomal RNA
Source: RNAcentral